RNAcentral lists this ribosomal RNA (483 nucleotides) under uncultured bacterium. RNAcentral describes it as "partial 16S ribosomal RNA". It matches the Rfam family "Bacterial small subunit ribosomal RNA", at positions 30 to 506 of the family's 1533-position model. The record is from RNAcentral.
AUUGAACGCUGGCGGCAGGCCUAACACAUGCAAGUCGAGCGGAUGAAGGGAGCUUGCUCCUGGAUUCAGCGGCGGACGGGUGAGUAAUGCCUAGGAAUCUGCCUGGUAGUGGGGGAUAACGUCCGGAAACGGGCGCUAAUACCGCAUACGUCCUGAGGGAGAAAGUGGGGGAUCUUCGGACCUCACGCUAUCAGAUGAGCCUAGGUCGGAUUAGCUAGUUGGUGGGGUAAAGGCCUACCAAGGCGACGAUCCGUAACUGGUCUGAGAGGAUGAUCAGUCACACUGGAACUGAGACACGGUCCAGACUCCGACGGGAGGCAGCAGUGGGGAAUAUUGGACAAUGGGCGAAAGCCUGAUCCAGCCAUGCCGCGGGUGUGAAGAAGGUCUUCGGAUUGUAAAGCACUUUAAGUUGGGAGGAAGGGCAGUAAGUUAAUACCUUGCUGUUUGGACGUGACCAACAGAAUAAGCACCGGCGAACUUCGG